This 496-nucleotide ribosomal RNA is filed under the name uncultured bacterium. RNAcentral's name for it is "partial 16S ribosomal RNA". It matches the Rfam family "Bacterial small subunit ribosomal RNA", at positions 899 to 1397 of the family's 1533-position model. The record is from RNAcentral.
ACUCAAAUGAAUUGACGGGGGCCCGCACAAGCGGCGGAGCAUGCGGCUUAAUUCGAUGCGACGCGAAGAACCUUACCUGGGUUUGACAUGCAGGGUGAAACCGGCGAAAGCCGGCGCUCUUCGGAGCCUGCACAGGUGGUGCAUGGCUGUCGUCAGCUCGUGCCGUGAGGUGUUGCCUUAAGUGGCGCAACGAGCGCAACCCCUGUUCCUAGUUGCCAGCGGGUAAUGCCGGGAACUCUAGGGAGACUGCCGGUGCCAAACCGGAGGAAGGUGGGGAUGACGUCAAGUCAUCAUGCCCCUUAAGCCCAGGGCUGCACGCAUGCUACAAUGCGCGGUACAGAGGGCGGCGAUCCCGUAAGGGGGAGCGAAUCCCAAAAAGCCGCGCUCAGUUCGGAUCGAGGUCUGCAACCCGACCUCGUGAAGCCGGAGUCGCUAGUAAUCGCAGAUCAGCAAUGCUGCGGUGAAUACGUUCCCGGGCCUUGCACACACCGCCCGU